RNAcentral lists this ribosomal RNA (253 nucleotides) under uncultured bacterium. RNAcentral's name for it is "partial 16S ribosomal RNA". It matches the Rfam family "Bacterial small subunit ribosomal RNA", at positions 524 to 776 of the family's 1533-position model. The record is from RNAcentral.
UACGUAGGCAGCGAGCGUUGUUCGGAGUUACUGGGCGUAAAGAGUGCGUAGGCGGUUUUCUAAGUUUGGUGUGAAAUCUCCCGGCUUAACUGGGAGGGUGCGCCGAAAACUGGAAGGCUUGAGUAUGGGAGAGGUAAGCGGAAUUCCUGGUGUAGCGGUGAAAUGCGCAGAUAUCAGGAGGAACACCGGUGGCGAAGGCGGGUCUCUGGGCCGAUACUGACGCUGAGGAGCGAAAGCGUGGGGAGCGAACAGG